CAAUCUUCCAAUCUCUCUCUCUCAAUUUUUCACUCUCUCAAUUAUUCAAUCUAUUCCAAUUCUCUACACAUUCCAUAACCUUCCCAUAUUUUCAUUUUUCCUAAUCCAAUUAUCAAAAAAUGUCUUCCUCCCGCUUAAAUAAAGGUAAGAAAAUAUAUGUUGCAAACCCAAAUUCUUGGGAUCCAAAUUACCGACCCCCCUCUAUUAAUGAGUAAAUAAUAAAAUGAGAUACAAAUUAUCAUUUUGUAUUAAUUAUACAAUCUAUUUGUAUUUAAAUUUUUUUUCCAAGUUAAUUACGCAAUCUAUUUUUUUUCAAAAUUUUAUAAUCGGACCAGAACUGUCUAGAACCGGAAUCGUCUAGAACCGGAACCAGAACUGUCUAGAACCGGAAGCGGAACCGUUUAGAACCGGAACCGGAACCGGCGGUUCUAGAACCGGAACCGAACUGACUAUUUUCGGUUCCGGUUAAGGUUCUAGAUUUUUGUGGAACCGGAACCGGCGGUUCCAUAAUCGGAACCGGCGGUUCCGGAACCGGAGUCAGGUCUAUGUGUACGUGUGUGUUCUAUAUAUUGGAUUUCUCUAACCAAACCCAAUCUAAUCUCUUAAACCUAACUUGGAUUGGGUUGGAUUAGUUAGGUCAUAUUGGGUUGUACUUUAUUUCUCAAGUUAGAUUGGGUUUAAGUAGUUUAAUAUAGGGAAAUAUUUGGAAUGUUUUUGAUGACCUAGUAUUUUUUACAUUAAGACUUGGGUCAGGUUGGCUUCAUCUAGGUUGGGUUGGGUCAUGAAUAAAUAUACAAUUUAUAUAAUCAUAUAUUUAUAAGUAAUCCACAAGAAAUAUAAAUAUAAAUUAUUUAUUAUCCAUAUACAUAGUUUAGUACGCUUGAAUAAGGUCAGGUUCAGUCAGGUUUAAGCUAGCUUAAGUUGGUUGAAGUUCAAUCCUAACCAAAAUCCUACUUGAGAUCCAGUUAUAAUUUUUAAACCCUAACCUAGUCCAAAUUUAUAAAACCCUAGGUCAACCUUGUCCAAUCAAUGGGCUGGGUGGGUGGAUCCAGGUUAAAGCCCAACCCAACCAGCAACAAAUAAAUCCUCCAGUCUGUCCACCUUAUUCUUCCCAUCCCCCUCAAUAUGCUAAUGGCCCCAUUACCCAUAUUCUCCUCCUCUCUCUCUCUCUC
This 1172-nucleotide long non-coding RNA is filed under the name Phoenix dactylifera (date palm). RNAcentral's name for it is "long non-coding RNA (PDAC_LNC006681)". Lineage: Eukaryota; Viridiplantae; Streptophyta; Magnoliopsida; Arecales; Arecaceae. The record is from RNAcentral.